This 252-nucleotide ribosomal RNA is filed under the name uncultured bacterium. RNAcentral's name for it is "partial 16S ribosomal RNA". It matches the Rfam family "Bacterial small subunit ribosomal RNA", at positions 525 to 776 of the family's 1533-position model. The record is from RNAcentral.
ACGGAGGGUCCGAGCGUUAAUCGGAAUUACUGGGCGUAAAGCGUGCGUAGGCGGUUCAUUAAGUCAGAUGUGAAAUCCCGGGGCUCAACCUCGGAACUGCAUUUGAAACUGGUGAACUAGAGUAUUGUAGAGGGUGGUGGAAUUUCCAGUGUAGCGGUGAAAUGCGUAGAGAUUGGAAGGAACAUCAGUGGCGAAGGCGGCCACCUGGACAAAUACUGACGCUGAGGCACGAAAGCGUGGGGAGCAAACAGG